Molecule: long non-coding RNA, 730 nt
Organism: Phyllopteryx taeniolatus (common seadragon)
Lineage: Eukaryota; Metazoa; Chordata; Actinopteri; Syngnathiformes; Syngnathidae
Exons: 3
Source: RefSeq, a predicted model, not a curated record
UUCUCUCUUCUUCUGCAUGAUCUCUUCAGCAGUAAGGCCAUGGUUGCCAUUCUCAACCAGCUUCGGGGCAGAAGACGUGCCUUUGCCUUGAUCUGCUUUGACAAGUUUUACCACAGGAGUUGGAAAAGAUUGUACAACAAGAUCUAGGAGCCGCCAUGUUUGGCAAUAUCACACUCUGCUGUUGACCAAAAUUAACUGCAGUCCCGCUUGCAAACAUCACGUGACCAAGGCCCGGGAAACAGGUUUACUUCUUUUUACACGUCACGUAGUAGUAUGAAGAUGACUCUCCUGCAGUAAUCCUAUCGCCUGCUUGUCCAUCAUGCAUUGGGUUUUCUCCGGGCACUCCAGUUUCCUCCCACAUCCCAAAAACAUGCGUGGUAGGUUGAUUGAGGACUCUAAGUAGUAGUAUGAAGAUGACUCUCCUGCAGUAAUCCUAUUGCCUGCUUGUCCAUCAUGCAUUGGGUUUUCUCCGGGCACUCCAGUUUCCUCCCACAUCCCAAAAACAUGCGUGGUAGGUUGAUUGAGGACUCUAAAUUGCCCGUAGGUGUGAAUGUGAGUGCGAAUGGUUGUUUGUUUCUAUGUGCCGUGCGAUUGGCUGGCGACCGGUUCAGGGUGUACCCCGCCUCCUGCCUGAAGAUAGCUGGGAUAGGCUCCGGCACGCCAGCGACCCUUGUGAGGAUAAGUGGUAAAGAAAAUGGAUGGAUGGCUAGUGGUGGGCAAUUGAAGCCUU